GCGUUGGUAAUCAUAAAAAUUAGUUAAGGGGUGGGGUCUAUACAAGGUUGUAGCAUUACUUGCAGAAGUAAGGUUGCGAUGUUCUACAUAGUUCAUUUUAGUUGGAUGGUGUAGAUUUAACACGUCUUUUAAGAUAGUGUCAAAAAGUGAUACGCCUUUUAAGAUAGUGCUAAAUCUACACUGUUCAAAUAAAAUGAAUGAUGUAGAUUACUGCAAUCUUACUUCUACAAGUACGGUUGCAACCUUAUAUAAACUUUUUAUUAGUUAAGAAUAAAAGCAAAAUGAUAAUCUUUUGU
RNAcentral lists this microRNA precursor (296 nucleotides) under Amborella trichopoda. Its description in RNAcentral is "miR8617 stem-loop (atr-MIR8617)". Lineage: Eukaryota; Viridiplantae; Streptophyta; Magnoliopsida; Amborellales; Amborellaceae. The record is from miRBase by way of RNAcentral.